Molecule: ribosomal RNA, 429 nt
Filed under: Triticum aestivum (bread wheat)
Lineage: Eukaryota; Viridiplantae; Streptophyta; Magnoliopsida; Poales; Poaceae
Description: partial small subunit ribosomal RNA
Source: RNAcentral
AUGGUGAUUGGGGAUUUGAAUGAGAUUAUGUUCCCGUUUGAGAAAGAAGGAGGGAACGAUAGACCAGCUCAUUUUAUGCGGGCGUUUAGGGAAGCCUUGAUUAACUGUAAUCUUUCUGAUCAUGGGUUUGUUGGUGACAAAUUUACUUGGCAUAGGGCACUAAUAAGGGAGAGGUUGGACCGUGCGUUGGUGAGCGAGGAGUGGAACACCAUGUUUCCAGGAGCCAUCCUCUAGCACCUGGACUACUACAAGUCUGACCAUAGGCCGAUUUUAAUGUCUCUGCAUGAGGAAAUUACUCAUGAGACGGUGGGUCAAGCUGUUCUCUGCUUCGAAGCUCGAUGGCUGAAAGAAGAUAAAUUCCGCGAGGUGGUAGAACAGGCGUGCUCAUCAUCUGAACAAAAUGGGGGUAAUGUUGGACUUGCGGAAUGA